AAAGUGCAAACACAAAGGGAACUGCGUG
This 28-nucleotide non-coding RNA is filed under the name Homo sapiens (human). The record is from RNAcentral. Lineage: Eukaryota; Metazoa; Chordata; Mammalia; Primates; Hominidae.